Molecule: ribosomal RNA, 253 nt
Filed under: uncultured bacterium
Lineage: Bacteria
Description: partial 16S ribosomal RNA
Rfam family: Bacterial small subunit ribosomal RNA
Source: RNAcentral
UACGGAGGGUGCAAGCGUUAUCCGGAUUCACUGGGUUUAAAGGGUGCGUAGGAGGGCAGGUAAGUCAGUGGUGAAAUCUCCAAGCUUAACUUGGAAACUGCCGUUGAUACUAUUUGUCUUGAAUAUUGUGGAGGUGAGCGGAAUAUGUCAUGUAGCGGUGAAAUGCUUAGAUAUGACAUAGAACACCAAUUGCGAAGGCAGCUCACUACACAAUCAUUGACUCUGAGGCACGAAAGCGUGGGGAUCAAACAGG